UUGAUCCUGGCUCACAACGAACGUAGGCGGCGUGCCUAACACAUGCAAGUCGAACGAGAAAGCUCCCUUCGGGGGGUGAGUAAAGUGGCAGACGGGUGAGUAACACGUGGGCAACCUGCCCCGAGGUGGGGGAUAACCUCCCGAAAGGGAGGCUAAUACCGCAUGACAUCCCGGAGUCGAUGGACAUCGGGAUCAAAGCAGGCCUCUUCAUGAAAGCUUGCGCCACGGGAUGGGCCCGCGCCCCAUUAGCCUGUUGGUGAGGUAACGGCUCACCAAGGCUACGAUGGGUAGCCGGCCUGAGAGGGCGAUCGGCCACACUGGAACUGAGACACGGUCCAGACUCCUACGGGAGGCAGCAGUGAGGAAUUUUGCGCAAUGGGCGAAAGCCUGACGCAGCGACGCCGCGUGGAGGACGAAGGCCUUCGGGUCGUAAACUCCUGUCAAGAGGGACGAAUGUCGGGAGGCUGAAAUAAGCCUUUCGGUUGACGGUACCUCUGG
RNAcentral lists this ribosomal RNA (498 nucleotides) under uncultured bacterium. RNAcentral describes it as "bacterial SSU rRNA". It matches the Rfam family "Bacterial small subunit ribosomal RNA", at positions 13 to 484 of the family's 1533-position model. The record is from RNAcentral.